AACGUAACAAGGUUUCCGUAGGUGAACCUGCGGAAGGAUCAUUAACACGUAUCCAACGUUAAACAACCCGUGAACCUUCAUGUUUCGUGUCUUACUUUUUAACUUCGAGGGCGUCUGGUAACUCACGUGAACAGAUUGACUCAGACAUUCUUGAAGAAAAAGGGUAAGAUGCUUGUGCAUUAGGUGAGGGCGUCUAACGCUUGUGAGUGAAGGACAAUUUCUUGACUGACAUCGUUGGAUCGAGCCUGCCGUUAAGUGGGUGAGAUUCCUGUUGGUCUUGGAAAUCGGUGCAGCCACACGCUUCAUCGGACCUCAUCUCAGGGAUAAUCCCCCCUUUCUAUUCACCACUCCUACGCAAACGCUCGCCGGCAUGGUCCCGCUUGAGCAUUCAAAAAACCGAACAACUGUUAACAAUGGAUAUCUUGGUUCUC
This 431-nucleotide unclassified non-coding RNA is filed under the name fungal sp. RNAcentral's name for it is "partial internal transcribed spacer region". The stretch from base 1 to 44 matches the Rfam family "Eukaryotic small subunit ribosomal RNA", at positions 1788 to 1831 of the family's 1831-position model. Lineage: Eukaryota; Fungi. The record is from RNAcentral.